GGACGGGUGAGUAACACGUGGGUAACCUGCCUGUAAGACUGGGAUAACUCCGGGAAACCGGGGCUAAUACCGGAUGGUUGUUUGAACCGCAUGGUUCAAACAUAAAAGGUGGCUUCGGCUACCACUUACAGAUGGACCCGCGGCGCAUUAGCUAGUUGGUGAGGUAACGGCUCACCAAGGCAACGAUGCGUAGCCGACCUGAGAGGGUGAUCGGCCACACUGGGACUGAGACACGGCCCAGACUCCUACGGGAGGCAGCAGUAGGGAAUCUUCCGCAAUGGACGAAAGUCUGACGGAGCAACGCCGCGUGAGUGAUGAAGGUUUUCGGAUCGUAAAGCUCUGUUGUUAGGGAAGAACAAGUACCGUUCGAAUAGGGCGGUACCUUGACGGUACCUAACCAGAAAGCCACGGCUAACUACGUGCCAGCAGCCGCGGUAAUACGUAGGUGGCAAGCGUUGUCCGGAAUUAUUGGGCGUAAAGGGCUCGCAGGCGGUUUCUUAAGUCUGAUGUGAAAGCCCCCGGCUCAACCGGGGAGGGUCAUUGGAAACUGGGGAACUUGAGUGCAGAAGAGGAGAGUGGAAUUCCACGUGUAGCGGUGAAAUGCGUAGAGAUGUGGAGGAACACCAGUGGCGAAGGCGACUCUCUGGUCUGUAACUGACGCUGAGGAGCGAAAGCGUGGGGAGCGAACAGGAUUAGAUACCCUGGUAGUCCACGCCGUAAACGAUGAGU
Molecule: ribosomal RNA, 729 nt
Filed under: Bacillus tequilensis
Lineage: Bacteria; Bacillati; Bacillota; Bacilli; Caryophanales; Bacillaceae
Description: bacterial SSU rRNA
Rfam family: Bacterial small subunit ribosomal RNA
Source: RNAcentral